This 488-nucleotide long non-coding RNA is filed under the name Musa acuminata (dwarf banana). Its description in RNAcentral is "long non-coding RNA (MACU_LNC009195)". Lineage: Eukaryota; Viridiplantae; Streptophyta; Magnoliopsida; Zingiberales; Musaceae. The record is from RNAcentral.
UCUGGAAGAGAAGGAAAGGAAGAAGAAGAGAAAGGAAAAGGGAAGAAGUGAGGAAGAGGAGAAGGGGAGGCAGCUGUGGCAGUGGCAGCUGCAGCUGGAAGAGAAGGAGAGGAAAUAGAGCAGGGGAGGAAGAAGAGGCUGCGGUUGUGGUGACUGCGGCCAUUGCUGCGACUGCGACUGCGGUAGUUGCAGUUGGGAAAGAAAAGAAAGGAAAGAGGGAAAAAGGGGCUGCGGACGGGAUUGCGGCCGCAGCGGCAACGACUGCGUAUGCAGCAGUUAUGUCUGCGAAAGAAGGGAAGGAAGAAGGCAGUGCGGUGGAAGGGGUUGCGACUAUGGCAGCGGCAGCGGCGGUGGUUGUGGCAGUUGCGUUUGGGAAAGAAAAAAGAAGGAAUGAGAGUAUGAGAGAGCAGGUGACUGUGCCUCGAUAUUCGGCACGUGGUGUAGUUGUGAAGAAAGAAAGAAAACGAGUGCACAAAACAAAACAGAGA